GAACGCACCUUGCGCUCCUUGGUAUUCCGAGGAGCAUGCCUGUUUGAGUGUCAUUAAAUCCUCAACCUCAUAUUCCUUGUGAACAUGAAGUUGGAUGUGGAGGUUUGCUGGCUUCACCGUCAGCUCUUCUGAAAUGCAUUAGCAGGGCCGCUGUAUUGCGAGGCUGUUGCUUGGUAUUGAUAGUUGUCUUACCAGGUGUCAGAGUUAGCAAUGUGCCCCAGCUUCUAGUCGUCUCUCUGGGACAACAACUUGACGAUUUGACCUCAAAUCAGGUAGGACUACCCGCUGAACUUA
Molecule: unclassified non-coding RNA, 294 nt
Filed under: Pluteus aff. cinereofuscus
Lineage: Eukaryota; Fungi; Basidiomycota; Agaricomycetes; Agaricales; Pluteaceae
Description: sequence contains 5.8S rRNA gene
Rfam family: 5.8S ribosomal RNA (bases 1-53)
Source: RNAcentral